RNAcentral lists this transfer RNA (71 nucleotides) under Bos taurus (domestic cattle). It matches the Rfam family "tRNA". From Rfam's summary of the family: Transfer RNA (tRNA) molecules are approximately 80 nucleotides in length. Their secondary structure includes four short double-helical elements and three loops (D, anti-codon, and T loops). Further hydrogen bonds mediate the characteristic L-shaped molecular structure. tRNAs have two regions of fundamental functional importance: the anti-codon, which is responsible for specific mRNA codon recognition, and the 3' end, to which the tRNAs corresponding amino acid is attached (by aminoacyl-tRNA synthetases). tRNAs cope with the degeneracy of the genetic code in two manners: having more than one tRNA (with a specific anti-codon) for a particular amino acid; and 'wobble' base-pairing, i.e. permitting non-standard base-pairing at the 3rd anti-codon position. Lineage: Eukaryota; Metazoa; Chordata; Mammalia; Artiodactyla; Bovidae. RNAcentral also lists the same sequence under 2 other names. The record is from Rfam by way of RNAcentral.
UCCCUAGUAGCUCAGACAGUAGAGAAUCUGCCUGCAAUGCAGAGACCCAAGUUCAAUCCUUGGGUUGGGAU